GGAGGGGGGUGGUGUCCCGGCCGGUUUGGGGGGCGCGUUGCCCGGAGACCGAAAGUUUGCGAGCCAGAACAGGCUUGGCGGCGGCCCCGGAAAGGGGGUCCAGGGGGCGGCGGCCCUGGGGAUGGGGAAGGAGCAGGAGCUGCUGGAGGCGGCCCGCACCGGACACCUCCCGGCCGUGGAGAAGCUGCUGUCCGGGAAGCGGCUCUCCUCAGGCUUCGGGGGAGGCGGCAGCGGGGGCUCAGGGGGAGGCGGCGGCGGCGGCGGCGGCGGCGGUGGUCUCGGCUCCUCGAGCCAUCCCCUAUCCAGCCUGCUCAGCAUCUGGAGAGGGCCAAAUGUGAACUGUGUUGACAGCACUGGGUAUACACCUCUGCACCAUGCUGCUUUGAAUGGCCAUAAGGAUGUGGUCGAGGUUCUUCUGAGGAACGACGCGCUGACCAACGUGGCUGACUCUAAAGGCUGUUACCCUCUGCACUUGGCAGCCUGGAAAGGAGAUGCCCAGAUAGUGCGAUUGCUCAUCCAUCAAGGGCCCUCACACACCAAAGUCAAUGAACAGAAUGCUCUUGAGAUCAAAGAACUCAAAAAGUACGGCCCCUUUGACCCUUAUAUCAAUGCCAAGAACAAUGACAACGAGACGGCCCUGCACUGCGCAGCACAGUAUGGCCACACGGAGGUGGUGAAGGUCCUCUUAGAGGAGCUGACUGACCCCACCAUGCGCAACAACAAGUUCGAGACGCCUCUGGACCUGGCUGCACUCUACGGGAGGCUGGAGGUGGUGAAGAUGCUCCUCAACGCACACCCCAACCUCCUGAGCUGCAACACUAAGAAGCACACCCCUCUGCACUUGGCAGCAAGGAAUGGCCACAAAGCCGUGGUCCAGGUCCUCCUGGAUGCCGGCAUGGAUAGCAAUUACCAGACGGAGAAGGGCAGUGCUUUGCAUGAGGCUGCUUUGUUUGGCAAGACCGAUGUGGUGCAAAUCCUGCUGGCUGCAGGAAUUGACGUCAACAUAAAAGAUAACCGUGGACUGACUGCCUUAGACACUGUCCGGGAGCUGCCAUCUCAGAAGAGCCAGCAGAUAGCAGCACUGAUCGAAGAUCACAUGACUGGAAAAAGAAGUGCAAAAGAGGUAGAUAAAACCCCCACAACCCAGCCACCUCUCAUCUCCAACAUGGACUCCAUAUCCCAGAAGUCUCAGGGUGAUGUGGAGAAAGCAGUGACUGAACUGAUCAUCGAUUUUGACAGCAACAUGGAAGAGGAGGGUCCCUACGAGGCUCUGUACAAUGCUGUCUCCUGCCAUUCAUUGGACAGCACGGCCAGCGGGCGCUCGUCUGACCGGGACUCCGUGAGCAGGGAGGCCGAGACGGCGGGAGUGAAAGCUGCUGGAGUGAGGCCUAGGGAACGUCCUCCGCCUCCAGCAAAACCACCACCCGAUGAAGAGGAGGAAGACCGCAUAGAUAAGAAGUAUUUUCCCUUGACAGCUUCUGAGGUCUUGACCAUGAGACCCUGGAUUCAGGGGAGCGCAGCCAGGGAGGAGGACGAGCAUCCUUAUGAGCUACUUCUGACAGCAGAGACAAAGAAGCUGGCGUCCGUGGACGGAAAGACAAAAGACCACAGGCGGAGCAGCGGCAGCCGGAGCCAGGACUCUGCAGAGGGGCAGGACGGGCAGGUCCCGGAGCAGUUCUCAGGUCUCCUCCACGGCUCCUCCCCAGUGUGUGAGGCCGGGCAGGACCCUUUCCAGCUGCUCCCAGCCCCUGGCCAGAGCCAUCAAGAAGGGUCCCCUGCACAGGGUGCCCGCCCCGAGGCAGGCAUGCAGCUGGAGGAGACGGGCGGGCGCGCGUCUGGAGCCUCCGCGCCCCGCAUGCCGGACCAGAGUAAGAGAGUGGGCUAUCCGGCAAGCCUGCCUCCCGCCCACAGCCAGACGCACCCUGCAACUUCGACGCGCACCGCAUCUCCACACCCUUGGGGUGCCGAGGAAGAAGGCGACCGGAGCGGGGCCAGAAGCCGAGCCCCUCCCACCGGCAGACCCAAAGCUGAGCUCAAACUCAGCCGCAGCUUGUCCAAGUCUGACUCUGAUCUCCUGACCUGCUCACCCACGGAGGACGCUACGAUGGGGAGCCGGAGCGAGUCCCUGUCCAACUGCAGCAUCGGGAAGAAGAGGCUGGAGAAGUCUCCCUCCUUUGCCUCCGAGUGGGAUGAGAUUGAGAAGAUCAUGAGCUCUAUUGGAGAAGGGAUCGACUUUUCUCAGGAACAGCAGAAGAUCUCAGGUUCGCGGCCGCCGGAGCAGAGCGUCGGGGAGUGGCUGGAGGCCGUGGGGCUGCAGCAGUAUGAGAGCAGGCUGCUUCUCAAUGGCUUUGACGAUGUCCGCUUCCUGGGGCCUAAUGUGAUGGAAGAUCAAGACCUGCGGGAAAUCGGCAUCAGUGAUGCACAGCACAGGCGGAAGCUGCUCCAGGCUGCGCGGUCCCUGCCCAAGGUGAAGGCUCUGGGCUAUGAUGGGAACAGCCCCCUGUCAGUGCGCUCCUGGCUGGUCUCCCUGGGCCUGCAGGACUAUGUCCCUUCCUUCCUGUCGAGUGGCUACAGCUCCAUUGACACUGUGAAGAACCUCUGGGAGCUGGAGCUUGUCAACGUCCUAAAGGUGCACCUGCUCGGCCAUCGCAAGCGCAUCAUCGCCUCCCUGGCAGACAGACCCUACGAGGAGCCGCCCCAGAAGCCCCCCCGGUUUUCCCAGCUGAGAUGCCAAGACUUGCUCUCGCAGACGUCGUCCCCCCUGAGCCAGAAUGACUCCUGCACCGGCCGGUCAGCUGAUCUGCUGCUGCCUUCUGGGGACACGGGCAGGAGGCGGCACGACAGUCUCCAAGACCCUACGGUGCCCUCUCGGGCCGAGCGCUUCAGGAUCCAGGAAGAGCACCGAGAGGCCAAGCUGACCCUUCGGCCCCCAAGCCUGGCUGCCCCCUAUGCCCCUGUGCAGAGUUGGCAACACCAGCCGGAGAAACUCAUCUUCGAGUCCUGCGGCUAUGAAGCCAAUUAUCUGGGCUCCAUGUUGAUCAAAGAUCUGCGAGGGACAGAAUCCACGCAAGACGCCUGUGCCAAGAUGCGGAAAUCCACGGAGCACAUGAAGAAGAUCCCCACCAUCAUCCUCUCCAUCACCUACAAAGGUGUCAAGUUCAUCGACGCCUCCAACAAGAACGUCAUCGCAGAGCACGAGAUCCGGAACAUUUCCUGUGCAGCCCAGGACCCAGAGGACCUCUGUACCUUCGCCUACAUCACCAAGGACCUGCAGACCAGCCACCACUAUUGCCACGUUUUCAGCACGGUGGACGUGAACCUGACCUAUGAGAUCAUCCUGACACUGGGGCAGGCGUUCGAGGUGGCCUAUCAGCUGGCCCUACAGGCCCAGAAGUCCAGGCCAAUGGGGGCCUCUGCCGCCGAGAUGAUCGAAACAAAAUCUUCCAAACCGGUGCCUAAGCCUCGGGUCGGCAUGAGGAAGUCAGCACAGCUGGAACAGCCCGAUAUGGACCCAGAUGCCCAGUCCCAUGCCAGCGUCUCCUGGGUUGUGGACCCCAAACCAGACUCUAAGCGGAGCCUCAGCACCAAGUAUGAGACCACUAUCUUCUAAGCACCCACCCCGUCUCCACUAGUCUCAUGUGCCUUGCCGUCCGUCCUUCUGCUCUUCUCAACUCUCCUUCCAGCUGCUGACGCCAAGGUCCCACCCACCCUGGGACCUCUCCUCCUGGGGCGGCAGCUUUAGACACUGCACACUCUCAGCUCGCACCUACCACCACCGGACACUGUGAAUUCCCCCCUUGGGCGAGGACAGCUUGGCGGGGGGGCAAGGUGCCUUUGAGGUGGGCACCAAGAGGGCCUCAGCGGGCGGGCACCGUGGCUCCUGAGGCGGGGGCAGUCUCCAGCAGAGUCCACUCGGCACUGGAGGCUGCUCCCUCCGAUCGGCCGGGGCUCCCUGUCGGCUCUCCUCUCCCGUCUUCCGAGCCACGGCUGGGUGCCGUUGCCAAGAGCUAACUGCACCUUUCCUGACACAACCAACCACUGUGACCACCUGGGGCCAGAAUCCCCUUGCGCUCUGCUAACAGCUGGCCUGCGGCCCAUCCCUCUUAAGAUUGCUGGCCUCCCCCUGUGAGACCCUCAGCUCAGCGAUGUGGCUUGAACAGGGUCAGAACUCUUUCUGUGAGGGCCCAGGGUCUGUGCCAGGUCCUAGAGCACAUGCCUGACUCCAAAGCCUGGGGCUCUGAGCGUCUGAACACCCACAGGCUGGCUCCACACAGCAGGUGUCUUGGUCCUGAUGGGUCUUGCACUGCAAGGAAUGGGAUGGCUCCUCACGUCUUCACCAGGGAGUCCCCGGCUGGCUCUGGAGUCUGGCUCGAGGAAGAGGAAGGCCUUCCUGUAGGAGCCAGCAGGAGGGAGGCCAGUGCCCUGCACACACUGUGCACCUUCUUCCCUCAGAACGGAGCUGCUCAAGGACAGGGACCUGGGCCGAGCAACAUCCGUUGUCCUCCAGGAGCUUUCUGAUGCUUCUCCACAGUGUGGGGACCAGAGAUAGUCAGCUGGCACCCGGUCCCUUCCCUGAUCGACAGCCCUCAGCCUCUUGACUCCUGAGAAGGAGUCCAUCACCUCAAAGCAGUUCAGCAGCUGGGAUGGUGGAGUUGAGGCUUUCAGAAGGCCCACGUUCUCGCGUGAGGGCAUGUCAGCUUAGAUGGCGGGAGAGGAGAGCCAGUUUCCGUGGGAAGAAGCACUGUACACGUAGCGUGGCCCAGUAUGAGAGCCACUGAGCCACCGAGGAACCAACUGUGCUGCGGAAACAGCCAUGGGGAGCGCAGGCUCCCACCGCCGCCGCCGCCACCGCCACCACCGUCUCAGCUGCAGCUUUGAAGACGCAGGCCCCACUACUGCCCGUAGGACCUCCUCGCGGCUGCAUGGUCCGGGCCUGCCACUGCCAGGUCUCGCCGAGUGAGCCCUGCCCUGGUUGCGGAGCAGCCCUCCAGGCCUCUAGCAGAUGAGGUUGGAACUCCAGAGAGCCAAGAAGUGACUUGUCCAGAAAACAUUUUUUAAUAGAAAAAAAUUUUUUUAUAAAAUGAACUUUCAACACUUGGCUCAACCCUCUAGGUUAAACUGCCAGUCUUUAGACAAUGGCCAUAGGGUCAGAGGACAGCGGGCCUCUGUCCUCAGGCUGGGGUCUUGGCGCGCUUGAGCAGCUCUGAGAGAAGGUAGUGGGUGAAUUGAAUCGGCUCGACAGACCCGCCAGUCAGCUGCUCUUCCUUCUGAGCCGCACAGCUUCUCAUCCCCGCCUGGAGCUGGGGGCAGCCCGUAGAGGCAUCUGGCAAAAGCAGAGGCUUCUGGGGUUCCAAACGUGAAGGUCUGGGGCCGCGUGGAGAUGCACAGGCAGGUCGCGGUGCCCAAGCUCUGGGCUGCUCCUCUGUCUCGGACCCAGCGGUGGUCAGAGCGCUGCCCUGGGCUGCCUGGCCGCAGGCCCUCCGGUGACCUCAGACUGUCUGAGUCGAGGCAGAAAGGAGAAGCAGCAGCUUUGUUUGUUUGGGGCAUUGACGGGUAGGUCGGCUGAGGUGGCUGCCUGCUGACUUGCGAUUUGUCUAAUCAGGUCUGUGUGAUUAGGACUCACUUUGGUUCUCUGAAUUAUCGGUUUGAUUGUCAUCCUUUCAGCUGCUGGGCUCCCCACUGGCUCCAAGGGUAGAGAAGGCUGAAUCAGGUGACAGUUUGAUUCUCCCCGAGUGUGGCCUUCAGGGCAGGCUGGCAUCUGGGCGCUGCUGCUGCCUGAGCCCUCCUGCUGGCUGGCUUUGCUUUUCACCUUUGGUUGCGUUGCUCCUCCUGGAGGCAGAGCCAGAGGGACUGUUCCUGUGAGGCUGGGCCAGGUCAACUGCCCGUCCAGCACCUUCCAGAGCAGAGCCUUUCCUCCCACGGGGCUGGAGCAGACCUUCCACUUUGCUGGCACAGCGCAGUCUGGUCCCAGGAUCAGUAGUCCAGGCUUCAGUAGCGCCUCUCUCUCUCCUGGCAGGGGCUGUGAAUGAGCAGGGAGCGCUCUGGCGCACCUUCAUAGCCCUGUGGUCGGCCAGCAGUGGAAAGCUGGGCCGCGUCUUCCUGCUGACCUGAGGCUGGGCCCUGUGGGUUUCCUUUCUGCUGAGCCGUCCACACCGCAGGCCUGGGGAGUCACACCCCCUCUCACUGAUCCUGCCCUUCUCGGUACUAAACAAGGACCUCGAUACCGGGAAGUCUGACUUCACGUCCUGCUGCUUCCAGGGCCCGUCGGCUUCCACUGAGCAGUAUUCAGCCCCUACUUCCUUCCAGGUAUGGACGAGGAACCCCGAGCUGGAUGGGUAAACCGCGGCUCCUGCUGCAGUGCGAGUGCUGUGCCCUCUUCCUCCUGAGGAAGGCCGGUCUCCUCUAAGCAGCCCCCUCUUGGUGGGUGGUGGGUCCAUAAAGAAAACUGUAGACACUACGAUGAGUUCCUCAAGCUGUCUUUAUUUUUAAGUCAUAGGUAGGUGUCUCCUCCCCUUGAAGCUGCUAUAUCUUCUUUAUUUAUUCAGGGUGUUUCAUGUUGGAAAGCCUUGGCUAAUCUGCUCUGGCUCUGGAUUUUGUUUUGAGCUUGGUUUAUUUCUCAAUAGCCAAGAAAGGAAGGGACUAGAUAUUUUUUUUAUUCCUCCUCCGGGACAGGUACUCUCCCUCCCCUAGAAAGAAAAAUUUUAACACCAGGACAGGCUUCACAUGGAGAGAAGCCCUGCUUCUGCACGUGAGCACAGGCCCUGCAGUGUGGCAGCCCCGUUCUGAACUGUGCAGGCCGUUCAGGCAGGACCUGAGAUAGGUCAGUACCUGCACGGCCACAGGCUCUCUGCUCCGCCCUUCUGCUUGCAGCUACUUCGAGCAGGGCUUCCCUCCGACAGGCUCUGCAUUUGCAACGCUCGCGUUCCCCCAGGGCCCCCAGCUUUGACUCUGGGGAGUCCCCGGAGAAGUCUCGGGCUGAGCAGACUGGUCUGCCCUCGGCCUGUGUUGUGAUGCCCAGGCCUGCAGGACAACUCUCAGAUGCAGUUCACAAAGUGGUGUUGCUAAUGGUGUGGCAAUGGGACUGAAUUGUAAUAAAACGUUAUUUAAUCUUUGUUUCUGUAUUUUGAUACUUGAAUGACUUCCCCUUUUAUUUUACUGUACAUAUAAUUGUUAAUCUGUCCAAUUUUGUCUAAAUUACAAACAUCUUGUGGUACCAAACAUAACCGACCUGUGCAACAACAUAGACUGACCUCACUACACGAGAGAGAGUGUAAAUAUUCCUGGGCUUUCGGCUUUGGUUUUGUUAUUUUCGUAACUGUACAACUUAGAACAGACUGAAUUAAUAAAUGAGAAGCGACAUGAAACCA
Orcinus orca (killer whale) is the source of this 7367-nucleotide RNA transcript. It is a transcript of the gene named ankyrin repeat and sterile alpha motif domain containing 1A, with no coding region annotated. The record is from RefSeq and is a predicted model, not a curated record. The transcript is spliced from 25 exons. NCBI's taxonomy places the organism in Eukaryota, Metazoa, Chordata, Mammalia, Artiodactyla, Delphinidae.